RNAcentral lists this long non-coding RNA (286 nucleotides) under Micromonas pusilla. RNAcentral's name for it is "long non-coding RNA (MPUS_LNC000050)". Lineage: Eukaryota; Viridiplantae; Chlorophyta; Mamiellophyceae; Mamiellales; Mamiellaceae. The record is from RNAcentral.
UUGCUUUCGCGCGUUCGCGUACGUACCGCACGACGCGAUGAACUGCUUCAGGUGCGCGAUGUCCGCCUGCUCCUUCUCGUACUUUUUCUGCUGCACGAUCUCGUUGUCCCUCACCGUCCGCUGAUACGUGUCGUAGUUGCCCGUGUAGUACGUCAACCGCCCUUGCGUCAUCCAGAUGAUGUGCGUGCACACGCCGUUCAGGAAAUCCUGCGAGUGCGAGACGAGGAUGAGGCAUUUCUUGUACUUGGCGAGGUACCCCUCGAGCCACACGCACGCCUCCAAAUCG